RNAcentral lists this ribosomal RNA (467 nucleotides) under uncultured bacterium. RNAcentral describes it as "partial 16S ribosomal RNA". It matches the Rfam family "Bacterial small subunit ribosomal RNA", at positions 28 to 507 of the family's 1533-position model. The record is from RNAcentral.
GAUGAACGCUGGCGGCGUGCUUAACACAUGCAAGUCGAACGAUGAUGCCCAGCUUGCUGGGUGGAUUAGUGGCGAACGGGUGAGUAACACGUGAGUAACCUGCCCUUGACUCUGGGAUAAGCCUGGGAAACUGGGUCUAAUACCGGAUACGACCAUCUGGCGCAUGUCAUGGUGGUGGAAAGCUUUUGUGGUUUUGGAUGGACUCGCGGCCUAUCAGCUUGUUGGUGGGGUAAUGGCCUACCAAGGCGACGACGGGUAGCCGGCCUGAGAGGGUGACCGGCCACACUGGGACUGAGACACGGCCCAGACUCCUACGGGAGGCAGCAGUGGGGAAUAUUGCACAAUGGGCGCAAGCCUGAUGCAGCGACGCCGCGUGAGGGAUGACGGCCUUCGGGUUGUAAACCUCUUUCAGUAGGGAAGAAGCGAAAGUGACGGUACCUGCAGAAGAAGCGCCGGCUAACCACGUG